RNAcentral lists this ribosomal RNA (825 nucleotides) under Triticum aestivum (bread wheat). RNAcentral describes it as "partial small subunit ribosomal RNA". Lineage: Eukaryota; Viridiplantae; Streptophyta; Magnoliopsida; Poales; Poaceae. The record is from RNAcentral.
AUGGCCCAUAUGACCACUGUUCGCACACUUCUCGCUAUGGCCUCUGUUCGCCACUGGUCCGUUUCUCAGCUUGAUGUUAAGAAUGCCUUUCUUAAUGGUGAGUUGCGUGAGGAAGUUUAUAUGCAGCCACCACCUGGGUAUUCAGUUCCUGAUGGAAUGGUUUGCCGUCUUCGUCGCUCUCUCUAUGGCCUUAAGCAAGCCCCCCGCGCUUGGUUUGAGCGUUUUGCCUCGAUGGUCACUGCUGCUGGUUUUUCACCUAGUGCUCAUGAUCCAGCGCUGUUUGUCCACCUUUCUGCUCGUGGUCGCACUCUUCUUCUUCUAUAUGUUGAUGACAUGAUCAUCACCGGCGAUGAUCUUGAGUACAUUGCCUUUGUCAAGGCCCGUCUAAGUGAGCAGUUUUCUAUGUCCGAUCUUGGUCCACUUCGUUACUUUCUUGGGAUUGAGAUUUCCUCCAUCUCUGAUGGCUUUUUUAUUUCCCAAGAAAAGUAUAUCCAGGAUCUUCUUGCCCGUGCGGCUCUUAGUGAUGAACGCACAGUCGAGACUCCUAUGGAGCUUAAUGUUCACCUUCGUGCUUCUGAUGGUGAGCCCUUGUCUGAUCCGACUCGUUAUCGUCAUCUUGUUGGGAGUCUUGUCUAUCUCGCUGUCACUCGUCCGGAUAUCUCAUAUCCUGUCCAUAUCUUGAGUCAGUUUGUUUCUUCUCCCACUUCGGUUCACUAUAGUCACCUUCUUCGUGUUCUACGAUAUCUUCGUGGCACGAUCUCUCGCCGUCUUUUCUUUCCUCGUUCCAGCUCGUUACAGCUCCAGGCCUAUUCGGAUGCUACCUGA